Non-coding RNA from Pelobates cultripes (western spadefoot toad), 213 nucleotides. Lineage: Eukaryota; Metazoa; Chordata; Amphibia; Anura; Pelobatidae. The record is from the annotation of a GenBank genome assembly.
GGGGGUGACUAGUGACAGAAGGAGGGAGGGAGUAGUGACAGAAGGAGGGAGGGAGUAGUGACAGAAGGAGGGAGGUGGUGACUGGUGACAGUCACCACCUCCCUCACUCUGUCACUAAUAACCCUUUCCUUUCCUCACUCUGCCACCAGUCACCCCCUCCUUCACUCUGUCACUGUGUCACCCCCUCCCUCACUCUGUCACCGUGUCACCCCC